This 1666-nucleotide long non-coding RNA is filed under the name Canis lupus familiaris (dog). RNAcentral describes it as "lncRNA (ENSCAFG00030001839.1)". Lineage: Eukaryota; Metazoa; Chordata; Mammalia; Carnivora; Canidae. The record is from RNAcentral.
CAAACAUUAUAUGUUCUCAUUCAUUUGGGGAAUAUAAAUAAUAGUGAAAGGGAAUAGAAGGGAAGGGAGAAGAAAUGGGUAGGAAAUAUCAGAAAGGGAGACAGAACAUAAAGACUCCUAACUCUGGGAAACGAAGUAGGGGUGGUGGAAGGGGAGGAGGGAGGGGGGUGGGGGUGAAUGGGUGAUGGGCACUGAGGGGGGCACUUGAUGGGAUGAGCACUGAGUGUCAUUCUGUAUGUUGUCAAAUUGAACGCCAAUAAAAAUAAAUUUAUUAUUAAAAAAAUAAAAUAAAAUUACUGUGAAAUCUAUUGAUAGAAAAAGAAUCACUGUCUUUUGUGCAUGGCAUAAUAGCUGUUUUCAUAUAAAAAACAGAUGUGUCUAAAUCAGAGACUGAAUAGGUAUGCCCAUAUCAUCUGCCUAGAUAACUCUCUGGGGAAAACAGCUCCUUGGAGGGGAAUCCCAGACCCUGACAGGAAAUCUGCUCAGAAACUCCAUGUGCACCUGCUCCUGGGCCUUCAAGACAGAAGUGGUGAGGAUUGUGCACCCCCUGGUAGUCCUGAUCCCCUUAACAGAGAGGUUUGUGUCUGGGCUCACACUGAGUUCGACUCACUGUGUCCUUCGCACAGUAAUACACGGCUGUGUCCUCGGAUCUCAGGCUGUUCAUCUGCAGAUACAGUGUGUUCCUGGCGUUGUCUCUGGAGAUGGUGAAUCGGCCCUUCACAGCGUCUGCAUAGUAUGUGCCACUGUUAAUGUAUGCGACCCACUGCAGCCCCUUCCCUGGAGCCUGGCGGACCCAGCUCAUGAUGUAGCUACUGAGGGUGAAUCCAGAAGCCACACAGGAGAGUCUCAGGGACCCACAAGGCUUCACCAGGUCUCCCCCAGACUCCACCAGCUGCUCCUCACCCUGGACACCUGCAGACACAAGACAUCCCGGUCAGGAAACGGUCCCACAUCCCCUCUUUUGCUCACUCAUCUCCACUCACAGAUUCAAGGUCCCUUGUUCUCCAUGAAUUACCUUUUAAAAUAGCGAUGAGGAAAACCCAGCCAAGCAUAGACUCCAUCAUGGGUUGUCUGUUGUGUCAUGAGCCUUGAAUGGGACCGCCUCUGUAUCCUGGGGCUGGGGCUCUUCUCCAGCUUUAGGGUCAGGACUUGGCUGGUUUAAUCAGUGAAAGGGAGGGCCUUAUUUGCUUGUCCUCUGACUAUAUAGUCAGCUCCAGUCUUAGAUUCAAUUCUUUACAAGUUAUAUACAAGCAUUACUUCACAAUGGUAGAUCACAUUCUUUUGUUGGUACAGUGAUUUUAUGAACUUCUAAUCCAUCAAAGUAUUUAUGUUUGCGUUUCUGUGCCUUUUGAAAGUCUCUCAUUUAUAUAGUUCAUUUUAAAGAGGAUUUUCUCUCCUUAAACAAGUGUAGUCAUAAAUAUUUAUUUGUAAUACCAGUGUAAAGGAGAAGGUUUUGUAUAUUUUAUACAGAAAUUUAGUUGUUAGUGUGUAGAAAUUAACUUUAUGGUCUAUUUUAUUUGAUAUCCAGAAUUUUCCCUGAGUUCAUUACUUACUUUUAAGUGUAUUUUUGGAAUUAUUUUGCUCACUGACAUUGUAUAUGUAAACAAAUUAUUUUAUUCCUGUUGAAUGAUUUUAAAGUCUUUUAGUUUAUUAUUGCCUAAUUUCU